UGCAGUCGAGCGGGGGAAGGUAGCUUGCUACUGGACCUAGCGGCGGACGGGUGAGUAAUGCUUAGGAAUCUGCCUAUUAGUGGGGGACAACAUCUCGAAAGGGAUGCUAAUACCGCAUACGUCCUACGGGAGAAAGCAGGGGAUCUUCGGACCUUGCGCUAAUAGAUGAGCCUAAGUCGGAUUAACUAGUUGGUGGGGUAAAGGCCUACCAAGGCGACGAUCUGUAGCGGGUCUGAGAGGAUGAUCCGCCACACUGGGACUGAGACACGGCCCAGACUCCUACGGGAGGCAGCAGUGGGGAAUAUUGGACAAUGGGGGGAACCCUGAUCCAGCCAUGCCGCGUGUGUGAAGAAGGCCUUAUGGUUGUAAAGCACUUUAAGCGAGGAGGAGGCUACUCUAGUUAAUACCUAGGGAUAGUGGACGUUACUCGCAGAAUAAGCACCGGCUAACUCUGUGCCAGCAGCCGCGGUAAUACAGAGGGUGCGAGCGUUAAUCGGAUUUACUGGGCGUAAAGCGUGCGUAGGCGGCUUAUUAAGUCGGAUGUGAAAUCCCCGAGCUUAACUUGGGAAUGCAUUCUAUACUGGUGAACUAGAGUAUGGGAGAAGAUGGUAGAAUUCCAGUGUAGCGGGGAAAUGCGUAAGAUCUGG
RNAcentral lists this ribosomal RNA (647 nucleotides) under Acinetobacter baumannii. RNAcentral describes it as "bacterial SSU rRNA". It matches the Rfam family "Bacterial small subunit ribosomal RNA", at positions 56 to 701 of the family's 1533-position model. The record is from RNAcentral. Lineage: Bacteria; Pseudomonadati; Pseudomonadota; Gammaproteobacteria; Moraxellales; Moraxellaceae.